AAUGUAUGUCAGUAUUUCUGUGGAAAUCUCACUUUUUACGGGACGUCUUUGCAGGGAUGGGACAGAACCUCAUAUCCCAGCAUGCACACGCGAGCAGAGGCUUAGACGCGAAGGCGCUUCCCUGAGCUGCGGCCGUGCGGGCGGUUCUCGCGGCGGGCCGGGCGAGCGCGCGCUGCCGCCGCUACUGCGUUCGCCACGUUCCCCGCUCGCGCUAAUUGCUACAUCACGCACGGCGCUCGCGCUCACAUUCACCGCGCCAACGCCGAGCGAUGAGCUCACAGGGCGGAGAUUCGGCGGAGCAGCACCGGCGGCAGCAGUUGCUGCGUUUAAUUUAUUUGCAUUUGAAGGAGAAUGGCUACGAGAAAGCUGCCAAGGUGCUUAAAAAGCACAUUUGUCAGAAAGAAACGGAAGCGAGCGUGACACUUUAUGAAAUAUACACCGGUUGGAUAAAAACUUCAGAUGGUUUUGGAGAUACGAAGCAGGAGCCUGGACUGAACAGGGAGAGCCCCCCGAAGAAGUCGCACCUGUCGGACUAUGCCGCCGGGGUCGAGGGAGACGAAGUCAAACCCGAAAAAGGUCACAUCAUUGAGAAGACAGAAGAACCUGAAUUUAAGCCCAUCAUUGAUGAUGGAUCUGUGUCCCCCUGUAACAAACCUUUCAUUCCCUCUGUGGUAAAAAAGUCUUCCAAAAGCACAGAAGGUCACUCAGACUGCAAAGAUGACCCUGAUGGAGACCAGCUGCAGACACCCCCUGGCCAUGCCAGUAGUGUGCCUCCUUUAGUGGAAUUAAGCAAACCCACCAUCCCUCAGGAGGAAACAGUUCCCUUGACACAGGACAUGGGAGUAAAAGUUAUAAGCUCAGACAGUGAAAGUCCUGAAGAUUCAGAAGAAGAGGAGCAGAGGCCACAACAGCAGGCUGAAGGUACUACACCAAAACCCACAGCUAUGAAGACUUCAAGUGUAGCAGGGGCCAGUGAGUCUAAGAGUUCAGCUGACAGUAAUGAUUCUCAGAGAGAAGAAGAAGCACCUGUCCAGAAACCUGGGAAAACACCAGUACGUAAAUCCUCCAAACAAAUUCCAACAAAGGGAGCCACUGCAGCCCCACUAAAGUCUAGCCAGGACACCACCAGCCAAGCUUUAGCUACACCCAAGAUCUCUGCUGCCCAGAACAAGGCUGAGUGCUCUGGGAGUGAGAGCAAUGAUAACUCAGUCAGUGACCAGGAAGUGACACAAGACCAGAAAGCUGUAUCGGACAGUCCAAAUAACACCGCUACAGAGACGACCCCUGCACCAGUUAAACCCAGUUCCACCCUUGACCUAACUGCAGCCCCUUUGAAAAGAGAAGAGAGCUCAGACGGUGAUAAUGAGUCAGAAAGUGAAGAGGCAAUUCCACCAACCCAGGCCACGUCCACAAAGCCCACAGUAAACCCACCUUCAUCCACUCCAGCAGUGGUCAGCAGUUGUCAGAGUUCAGACAGUGAGGAGGACGUGUCUGUCCAGAAAGCAGUCAAAACCCCAAAAGUUAUACCUGCAGCCCCAGAAAGGCCCAGGCAGUCUGUACACAGCAAAGCUAAAGAUGCCCCUGAGGUUCCUGCUGCAGAGAAGAAAGCAGAGAGCUCAGAGAGUGAGAGUGGUGAUGACUUGGAGAGUGAAGAAGAAGCUGUUAAAGAGAGCGCUAAACCUGUGCCUGACACACCACACAAGGCAACUACAGUGAUUGUCACCCCUGGUCUCACCAAAGUCCCUUCAAAAACAGAAGAGACCUCAGAGAAUGAUGACCAAUCCGAACGUGAAGAAAUUCCACCAACACAGAAAGAAGUGACAACCUCAACAUUGACAACUACCCAGAAGACUCCAAAGAAUGGAGCUUCCGCAGCUCCACUGAAGCCCAGCCAGCACAAAUCAGCCCAGGCUAAAAAGUCACCCAAGGGUCUUGCUGUAGAGAAGUCCGAGAGCUCUGAGAGCAGCAAUGAUUCAGCGAGUGAAGAGAAAACCAAAAUCCCAAAAGGGACACCUGCCAAGAUUUCACCCACGAGGGCAUCUAAAACUCCAGUGAAGCUCAGCCAUCCCACACCUAUCCAGGCUAAAGGUGCAAAGAAGGCUGACAGCCCAGAGAGCAGUGAUGACUCAGAGAGUGAAGAGGUAGCAACACCACCACAACAGAAAGCUGGUGUGACACCGAAAGCUAAACUUGUGUCUGGCCCUGCAAAGACAACUGCACUGAAAGGUUCAACACCAGGUAAACCUAGUUAUACCUUGGCUCCCACCACAGCCUCCUCAAAACCAGAAGAGAGCUCAGAGAGCGAUGAUGAAUCAGAAAGUGAAGAGGAGAUUCCCCCAACACAGGUAAUGUCCACUGAGCCCACAGCAAGCACACAUUUAGCCACCCCAGCAAUGGUCAACAGGGGUCAGAGUUCAGACAGGGACAGUGAGGAAUCUGAGAGCGAGGACAACGCACCUGACCAGAAACCAGAGCUGACCAUCAAGCCAAAAGUAUGUAAGGUUAUUCCAGCAAAGUCAUUGAGUGCGGUGACCCCAGUCAGAGCCAAGACCGCACCCACCACCACCUCAAAAACAACCAUGAAGACCUCAGUAUCUGUCAGACGAAAAAAGAGUACAAGCACAGACAGUGAGGACGAGAUUCCAAGAAAGUCAGCCCCAGCUAAACGGGCUUCCAUGGUGUCAGUCAAGCCUGGACAUCCCAUUCCAAGCCAGGUUAAAGCAGCACCCAAGGCCCCUUCUAAAGAGGGAAAGGCCAAGGAGGCUAGCAGUGAUGAUUCGGAGAGUGGUGAAGACCCUUCAGCGAAGAUUGCUGUGGCAGCUUCCGACAUUUUGCCCAAGAUGAAAUGCAAAUCCACAACCCAGACUGUACAGAAGACUCCGAACGCUUCAAAAAAAGUGGCCGGUGGCAGUGAGGACCUGUCCGAAAAGGACGCAUCUCUUGAAAACUCGGCUUUGAAGACUCCCAAAGCUAAACUACGUGCCGUCGCUCCAGAACUUUCAUCUGACAUCAAGAGCAGUACAACCAAGGGCACUGAGGAUGGUGCUUCCAUACUCGUUCAGGAAGUCUCAGCAAUAAUGGAUUCUGAACCUGACAUAUUAGGGACAGCAUCUUCUGAUGCAGCUCCCAAAAACUCAAAGGACGGUGAUGUCAUUGCAGAGGAGCUCUCCCAGACUUCUCUGGACCCAAAAGAAUCUAUGAAGAAAGCCACUGAAAGAAGGAAAAGGAGGAGGAAGAAGAAGAAGAAAAAAAAGAAAGCCUCUGUCCAAUUUGAGGAUGAGAACAUUUCCCCCACAGGCCCUGGUCAGGAGCUGAUUUUACCCAGUGGAGGAUCUGCCAUCAGUUUGGACCAGUUAAUAACAAUGCCAUGCAAAGCUUCUGAAGAGCCAGAAUCAUCUGAGACUGGUGUUAGUCUUAAGAAGGUUGGAUCAAAGAGCUCAAAGUCACUAGUAUCAGGAGUGAAUAGUGAGGGAGAGCCUGAAGUGAAAACCAUAGCAACAGAAGCUAUGCCUCAGGCAAAAAAGAGGAGGAGCACAGACAAAGGAGAUAUGGAACCGAAGAGUAAGAAGAAGAAGAAGAAGAAGAAAGGUGCAGACACAGAAGCAAACCCCACAGAGCUGGGGAACAACCCUCAUUCCGAGAACAAGCUUAAUUUGGAAGAGUCAGAAAAAGAGGCACUGACUCCCUCAGAUGAUGCAACUGCAAAGAUGGGCUCUGAUGACUCUAUGGAGUCCAACUCCACCACCCUCAUUUUGUCUGCAAAGGCCUUAAAGAAGAUUAAGAAAAUGAAGAAGAAAGAGAAGGUAAAAGUUAAGAAUACAGGGAGUAAAAAGAUUAAAGCCCACAAGACUAUGAGUGUCUUUACCUCUGUGGCUGAGCAGCUGCUGGCCAUUACCAAAAAAAAAGAAUUAAAGAAAGCUACUGCUGUGAAGAAGCCGCUAUUGGUGCUUGAUCCGCAAAAAAGGAAGAAAUUUGACAAAGACGGUACUAUAAGAUCAGAGCCAGAAUCUGAAAUUCCUGCUUUUAAGAAAAGAAAAAAGAAAAACAAAAGCAACAGGGAGGAGAAGACACCUUCAAAGAAGAAGCAAACUCAGGACACAGAAGACCAUGAGCUGCAAAUCCAAGGUCUGGCGGAGAGUACGCUUGUGAAGAAGAAAAAAAAGAAAAAGAAAAACAGAUGGAAAGACAGAGGAAAACUGAUCAAGACACCUUUCAAGGGGCCACAGGGGCUUCAUCUGGACACACCUCCACCUUUAGGGACUAGUCCAGAACCUUCUAAAGCCGCCUUGGGAAAAGUGAGAAAAAAGUAAAGAAAAAUUUUGUUUCAAAUGUAUUAUCACGUGUUUUACAUCAUUUUGUAAUGCUGUAAAAAGAAAGUAAUGGACUUUUUUUGUAGAUCGCGUUCCUUCAGAAACAGUGAAUGAUGGAUGGGUGAGUAGAAAAUGUUAAAAUACACUUUGUGUUACUACAUGUUUUCAUUGUAAUGUAUAAUAGAUACACCAUACUAUAUUUAAAAUCUCCACAGGAAUUGCUGUUCUCUGCGGACCCGAGAGUAGAUGAGCUGCUGGCCAGUGAAAGAGGAUCAACUCUUCCACACGGGUUAAACUAGUGUUACUUUAUAGUGAGGAAAAAGUUACUUCAGUUUGUAUGUGCUUUCUGUGAAACAUGUUUGGUUCUAUAGCAUUUUAGCAGUAAGCAAUACUACAGAGGAUGGAAGGUUUUGUUACAGCAAUAUUAUGGAUUUAUUCAGUUUUUCUAAUUGUAUGGGAUAUUUUCAGUUAGAUGCUGCUGACUCCAGUUAAGACUAUGGAAAUGAAUUCUGCAUCCAGUGUGGAUUCUCUGUACUUAAAGGUGACUUUAUAUUUGACAGGGCAGAAACAGUAGCACACAGACUAGCAUGUGAUUAUCACUGUGCUUUGGGAACAAGGUUAUACUGACCAUAGACCACCUUACUGCAGUAGUUGAAAGGGAGGCUUUUCUCCCUUAACACAUAAUACAAGUGUUUCUGCCACACACACUUUUAGACACUGUGAAACAGGCAUGUAACUGUCAUUUUUCUGGUGUUUGUUCAUUUCAGCUUUUAAUAAAUGUUAAUUUUGCAUUAUUUGAAGGAGCA
RNAcentral lists this long non-coding RNA (5116 nucleotides) under Scleropages formosus (Asian bonytongue). RNAcentral describes it as "lncRNA (ENSSFOG00015030172.1)". Lineage: Eukaryota; Metazoa; Chordata; Actinopteri; Osteoglossiformes; Osteoglossidae. The record is from RNAcentral.